GACGAACGCUGGCGGCGUGCUUAACACAUGCAAGUCGAACGGAAAGGCCCUGCUUUUGUGGGGUGCUCGAGUGGCGAACGGGUGAGUAACACGUGAGUAACCUGCCCUUGACUUUGGGAUAACUUCAGGAAACUGGGGCUAAUACCGGAUAGGAGCUCCUGCUGCAUGGUGGGGGUUGGAAAGUUUCGGCGGUUGGGGAUGGACUCGCGGCUUAUCAGCUUGUUGGUGGGGUAGUGGCUUACCAAGGCUUUGACGGGUAGCCGGCCUGAGAGGGUGACCGGCCACAUUGGGACUGAGAUACGGCCCAGACUCCUACGGGAGGCAGCAGUGGGGAAUAUUGCACAAUGGGCGGAAGCCUGAUGCAGCAACGCCGCGUGCGGGAUGACGGCCUUCGGGUUGUAAACCGCUUUCGCCUGUGACGAAGCGUGAGUGACGGUAAUGGGUAAAGAAGCACCGGCUAACUACGUGCCAGCAGCCGCGGUGAUACGUAGGGUGCGAGCGUUGUCCGGAUUUAUUGGGCGUAAAGGGCUCGUAGGUGGUUGAUCGCGUCGGAAGUGUAAUCUUGGGACUUAACCCUGAGCGUGCUUUCGAUACGGGUUGACUUGAGGAAGGUAGGGGAGAAUGGAAUUCCUGGUGGAGCGGUGGAAUGCGCAGAUAUCAGGAGGAACACCAGUGGCGAAGGCGGUUCUCUGGGCCUUUCCUGACGCUGAGGAGCGAAAGCGUGGGGAGCGAACAGGCUUAGAUACCCUGGUAGUCCACGCUGUAAACGGUGGGUACUAGGUGUGGGGUCCAUUCCACGGGUUCCGUGCCGUAGCUAACGCUUUAAGUACCCCGCCUGGGGAGUACGGCUGCAAGGCUAAAACUCAAAGGAAUUGACGGGGCCCCGCACAAGCGGCGGAGCAUGCGGAUUAAUUCGAUGCAACGCGUAGAACCUUACCUGGGUUUGACAUGGAUCGGGAGCGCUCAGAGAUGGGUGUGCCUCUUUUGGGGUCGGUUCACAGGUGGUGCAUGGCUGUCGUCAGCUCGUGCCGUGAGAUGUUGGGUUAAGUCCCGCAACGAGCGCAACCCUUGUUCACUGUUGCCAGCACGUUAUGGUGGGGACUCAGUGGAGACCGCCGGGGUCAACUCGGAGGAAGGUGGGGAUGACGUCAAGUCAUCAUGCCCCUUAUGUCCAGGGCUUCACGCAUGCUACAAUGGCUGGUACAGAGAGUGGCGAGCCUGUGAGGGUGAGCGAAUCUCGGAAAGCCGGUCUCAGUUCGGAUUGGGGUCUGCAACUCGACCUCAUGAAGUCGGAGUCGCUAGUAAUCGCAGAUCAGCAACGCUGCGGUGAAUACGUUCCCGGG
Molecule: ribosomal RNA, 1343 nt
Filed under: uncultured bacterium
Lineage: Bacteria
Description: 16S ribosomal RNA
Rfam family: Bacterial small subunit ribosomal RNA
Source: RNAcentral